CGCUGUUCAUUUACGCGAUAGACGUCGAGGUCUUCAACGCCUACCUAAAGGGCGUUGAUAAGUCCGUAGACGAAGCCAAGGCAGCAGUGGAGGAGAAACUCUCGACUUUCCCGACGUGGAUUGCCGUCGUAAGCUCCAUCGGCGGCUGCUUUGCGUCUGCGGUGCUCGUCUUUGGCGGCGUCUUGAUCUACAGGAAUAAGAAUUACCUAAUGUGCCGUUCACAGUGAACAAAGGGGAGGAGGAAAUGGAGCACAUGGAAGUACGAAGAUCACCGUCCAACUGCAAGCGAGGAAGCGGUCUGCAGCACUUGUAUCUGACUGUUCUAUUACGAGAGAAAUUUUGUGUGUGUGUGUGUCUGUGGAAAAGGAGCUUCUGUGUGCUAUAUAGUAUAUGUAUAGACCAAGGUUAUUGGAUUCAGAAACCUUAUUCAUAUUACGAGAAAAUGUAGAAAGACUAUUAUAAUUUCUUGAAGACACGUCCACACACACAUUUACUCCACGCACACACAAACACACACAUGAACUCGCUUGCUGACACACAUUGCCAAAAGUUAUCAAGACCGUUGCUAGAUAAUUGAUAUAAGAUGAAUGACCUCUGUUCUCAUUAAAAUAUUUUCCCAGAACUAUGAUAUCGUUGUAGGUAGUGGUAGGUAAUAUCAAUACGGUCAUGUUAUAUCUUCCUUUGAACCAAUACCAUUAUUAGUAUCACCCUAGAGGUAUCGGGAAGAGGUAGAAUUUGGUAAUAUGUAAAUUCAAUAUUGGAAGACAAUUUGCUAGUACUGCAAUUUUGAAGUGCAAGGUAGUGUUGAUAGUGUAGUUCAUUGCAAGAGUGAGUGCAAGAGGGAAGGGUGUUUUAAGACUGGCUAUAGGAGGAAAUAAUAAUGAGAAAAUUGUGCCGGAACCUAUGUUUAUUUCCGUACAGUUGCUCUUCAGUCUACUGUAUGAUGCUAAACUAUAAAUCUAUAUUGUAUAAAUCAAUAAACUUUGCUAUUAUAA
Penaeus indicus is the source of this 995-nucleotide long non-coding RNA. RefSeq lists it as uncharacterized. The record is from RefSeq and is a predicted model, not a curated record. NCBI's taxonomy places the organism in Eukaryota, Metazoa, Arthropoda, Malacostraca, Decapoda, Penaeidae. The transcript has 3 exons.